MicroRNA precursor from Bos grunniens (domestic yak), 70 nucleotides. The record is from Ensembl. Lineage: Eukaryota; Metazoa; Chordata; Mammalia; Artiodactyla; Bovidae.
AAGAAUGACUUCUGCUGCAGACCUGGAAGACAUGGAGAAUAGUCUCCAGAGCUGAGCAGAACUGAUACUU